CCUACGGGGGGCAGCAGUGAGGAAUAUUGGUCAAUGGGAGAGAUCCUGAACCAGCCAAGCCGCGUGAGGGAAGACGGCCCUAUGGGUUGUAAACCUCUUUUGUCGGAGAACAAAACCCGGGACGUGUCCCGGACUGCGUGUAUCCGAAGAAAAAGCAUCGGCUAACUCCGUGCCAGCAGCCGCGGUAAUACGGAGGAUGCGAGCGUUAUCCGGAUUUAUUGGGUUUAAAGGGUGCGUAGGCGGUAUGUUAAGUCUGGUGUUAAAUGCAGAAGCUCAACUUCUGUUCGGCACUGGAUACUGGCAAACUAGAAUGCGGUAGAGGUAAAGGGAAUUCCUGGUGUAGCGGUGAAAUGCUUAGAUAUCAGGAGGAACAUCGGUGGCGUAAGCGCUUUACUGGGCCGUAAUUGACGCUGAGGAACGAAAGCCAGGGUAGCAAAUGGGAUUAGAUACCCUAGUAGUC
RNAcentral lists this ribosomal RNA (460 nucleotides) under uncultured bacterium. RNAcentral describes it as "partial 16S ribosomal RNA". It matches the Rfam family "Bacterial small subunit ribosomal RNA", at positions 338 to 795 of the family's 1533-position model. The record is from RNAcentral.